AGCAAAUAGAUACCCGGGUAGUCCACGCCCUAAACGAUGGCAACUGGGUGUUGGGGAAGCGAUUCCUUGGUACCGUAGCUAAACGCGUGAAAGUUGCCCGCCUGGGGAGUACGGCCGCAAGGUUAAAACUCAAGGGAAUUGACGGGGACCCGCACAAGCGGUGGAUGAUGUGGAUUAAUUCGAUGCAACGCGAACAACCUUACCUACCCUUGACAUGUUCUGAAGCCUGGUGAGAGCUGGGUGUGCCCGAAAGGGAACGGAAACACAGGUGCUGCAUGGCUGUCGUCAGCUCGUGUCGUGAGAUGUUGGGUUAAGUCCCGCAACGAGCGCAACCCUUGUCCCUAGUUGCUACGCAAGGGCACUCUAGGGAGACUGCCGGUGACAAACCGGAGGAAGGUGGGGAUGACGUCAAGUCCUCAUGGCCCUUAUGGGUAGGGCUUCACACGUCAUACAAUGGACGGUACAGAGGGUAGCCAACCCGCGAGGGGAGCCAAUCCCAGAAAGCCGUUCGUAGUCCGGAUUGCAGUCUGCAACUCGACUGCAUGAAGUC
This 550-nucleotide ribosomal RNA is filed under the name uncultured bacterium. RNAcentral's name for it is "bacterial SSU rRNA". It matches the Rfam family "Bacterial small subunit ribosomal RNA", at positions 767 to 1327 of the family's 1533-position model. The record is from RNAcentral.